Molecule: long non-coding RNA, 832 nt
Filed under: Numida meleagris (helmeted guineafowl)
Lineage: Eukaryota; Metazoa; Chordata; Aves; Galliformes; Numididae
Description: lncRNA (ENSNMEG00000017120.1)
Source: RNAcentral
GCUGUAACCCAAGCCUGAGGGGUGCUGGGGACUUAGGGAGGGAAGCUGGGCUUUCAAACUGCUGUAACCCAAGGAAGAAAAUCAUCAGCCUAUAUGCCUUUCACAGCAUUUGAAGGCAAAAUGAGAGAAAGAAAAAUGCUCAUUUUCAGCUGCAGUAGAUCCAAGUAGAUCCGAAAUGAAAUCCAGCCCCCAAAUACCUCCAGCUGGUGAAGGACUGGGAGCUCACCAGGAUGGGGUGAUGAUGGAAGAAAACAUGAAUAUUAACAGCUCAGCACCUGGAGUCAUCAGCCAAGAUUGCAGGCCCCUCACAAGAGGUGAUGGCCAAAAAAACGGCGAGAUCCAACCAGCUCCCUGUCCCCAUGGGCACAGCCAGCAGGGAAGGAGCAUUGUGGGGACAGACUGGGGUGGUCACUGUCAAGCCUGGAGCAGAGGGAGGAAGGGUUGGGGCUGCCCUGAGCCCAGGCAUCUCUGUGACCCAGGUGCAAACACCUGGGUCCUGUAGGCUCUUCAGCUCUGGCACGUGUGCUUUCAAAAUCCAUUCGACUGCCUGCAUACAGACAAGUGUUCAAACAGCUUCAUCUCCAUCCCUGUGGGCCCCAAGGCACAGCACUGGGUAUCACCUGUUCAGCUCCUCCACAUGUUAUACUGAGGUCUGCAUCCUGCAAAUGCUUCUUCACAGGAAUGGCAAAGACCAAGUUGUCUCAAUAUAAAUCUUGCUGUAGUAGAUUUGUAUCAGUCCAUUCAAUAUCUUUACAUUCUUGGGGUUUUCUUGGCUUAUUGGCCCCUCCCAUUGCAUAAUAAAGAGUGUGCAACUGUUUUUUUUUUUUUUUUU